CCUACGGGAGGCAGCAGUGAGGAAUAUUGGUCAAUGGACGAGAGUCUGAACCAGCAAAGUAGCGUGAAGGAUGACUGCCCUCUGGGUUGUAAACUUCUUUUAUAUGGGAAUAAAAUGUUCCACGUGUGGGAUUUUGUAUGUAUCAUAUGAAUCAGGAUCGGCUAACUCCGUGCCAGCAGCCGCGGUAAUACGGAGGAUCCGAGCGUUAUCCGGAUUUAUUGGGUUUAAAGGGUGCGUAGGUGGAUUGUUAAGUCAGUUGUGAAAGUUUGCGGCUCAACCGUAAAAUUGCAGUUGAAACUGGCAGUCUUGAGUACAGUAGAGGUGGGCGGAAUUCGUGGUGUAGCGGUGAAAUGCUUAGAGAUCACGAAGAACUCCGAUUGCGAAGGCAGUUCACUGGACUGCAACUGACACUGAGGCUCGAAAGUGUGGGUAUCAAACAGGAUUAGAUACCCGUGUAGUC
This 460-nucleotide ribosomal RNA is filed under the name uncultured bacterium. RNAcentral's name for it is "partial 16S ribosomal RNA". It matches the Rfam family "Bacterial small subunit ribosomal RNA", at positions 338 to 795 of the family's 1533-position model. The record is from RNAcentral.